GCCGAAGUGGCGGAACUGGCAGACGCGCGGGAUUCAAAAUCCCGUGGCCGCAAGGUCGUGAGGGUUCGAGUCCCUCCUUCGGCA
Molecule: transfer RNA, 84 nt
Filed under: Phycisphaerae bacterium
Lineage: Bacteria; Pseudomonadati; Planctomycetota; Phycisphaerae
Also listed under: 1 other name
Description: tRNA-Leu
Rfam family: tRNA
About the family: Transfer RNA (tRNA) molecules are approximately 80 nucleotides in length. Their secondary structure includes four short double-helical elements and three loops (D, anti-codon, and T loops). Further hydrogen bonds mediate the characteristic L-shaped molecular structure. tRNAs have two regions of fundamental functional importance: the anti-codon, which is responsible for specific mRNA codon recognition, and the 3' end, to which the tRNAs corresponding amino acid is attached (by aminoacyl-tRNA synthetases). tRNAs cope with the degeneracy of the genetic code in two manners: having more than one tRNA (with a specific anti-codon) for a particular amino acid; and 'wobble' base-pairing, i.e. permitting non-standard base-pairing at the 3rd anti-codon position.
Source: RNAcentral